CCUACGGGAGGCAGCAGUGAGGAAUAUUGGUCAAUGGACGGAAGUCUGAACCAGCCAUGCCGCGUGCAGGAAGACGGCUCUAUGAGUUGUAAACUGCUUUUGUACAAGGGUAAACCUGAAUACGUGUAUUCAGCUGAAAGUACUGUACGAAUAAGGAUCGGCUAACUCCGUGCCAGCAGCCGCGGUAAUACGGAGGAUCCAAGCGUUAUCCGGAUUUAUUGGGUUUAAAGGGUGCGUAGGCGGAUUGAUAAGUUAGAGGUGAAAUGUCCGAGCUUAACUCGGGAACUGCCUCUAAUACUGUUGGUCUAGAGAGUAGAUGCGGUAGGCGGAAUGUAUGGUGUAGCGGUGAAAUGCUUAGAGAUCAUACAGAACACCGAUUGAGAAGGCAGCUUACCAAUCUAUAUCUGACGUUGAGGCACGAAAGCGUGGGGAGCAAACAGGAUUAGAUACCCCAGUAGUC
Molecule: ribosomal RNA, 460 nt
Filed under: uncultured bacterium
Lineage: Bacteria
Description: partial 16S ribosomal RNA
Rfam family: Bacterial small subunit ribosomal RNA
Source: RNAcentral